UACGUAGGACCCGAGCGUUGUCCGGAUUUACUGGGUAUAAAGGGUGCGCAGGCGGGCUUGUGCGUCAGGGGUUAAAGACCUCGGCUUAACCGAGGGAGUGCCUUUGAUACGGCAGGUCUUGAAUGUGAGAGAGGAUGAUAGAAUUCCUGGUGUAGCGGUGGAAUGCGUAGAUAUCAGGAGGAAUACCAUUGGCGAAGGCGGUCAUCUGGCUCAUUAUUGACGCUUAGGCACGAAAGCGUGGGGAUCAAACAGGAUUAGAUACCCUGGUAGUCCACGCCCUAAACGAUGUAUGCUUGGUGUUGGGUAUUAAUAUUCAGUGCCGUAGGAAAUCUGUUAAGCAUACCACCUGGGGAGUACGAUCGCAAGGUUGAAACUCAAAGGAAUUGACGGGGGCCCGCACAAGCGGUGGAUCAUGUGGUUUAAUUCGAUGCAACGCGAAGAACCUUACCAGGGCUCGAAUUGUAGCGGAAUGUGGGUGAAAGCCUACAGCCUUCGGGCCGCUAUAGAGGUGCUGCAUGGCU
RNAcentral lists this ribosomal RNA (521 nucleotides) under uncultured bacterium. RNAcentral describes it as "bacterial SSU rRNA". It matches the Rfam family "Bacterial small subunit ribosomal RNA", at positions 524 to 1050 of the family's 1533-position model. The record is from RNAcentral.